UAGCACCACGUGAAAUCAGCGU
RNAcentral lists this microRNA (22 nucleotides) under Xenoturbella bocki. RNAcentral describes it as "Xbo-Mir-29-P2_3p (mature (guide))". Lineage: Eukaryota; Metazoa; Xenacoelomorpha; Xenoturbellidae. The record is from RNAcentral.